UACGCGGGCGGUUUGUUAAGCGAGAUGUGAAAGCCCCGGGCUCAACCUGGGAACUGCAUUUCGAACUGGCAAACUAUAGUGUGAUAAAGGGUGGUAGAAUUUCAGGUGUAGCGGUGAAAUGCGUACAGAUCUGAAGGAAUACCGAUGGCGAAGGCAGCCACCUGGGUCAACACUGACGCUCAUGUACGAAAGCGUGGGGAGCAAACGGGAUUAGAUACCCCGGUAGUCCACGCCGUAAACGAUGUCUACUAGAAGCUCGGAACCUCGGUUCUGUUUUUCAAAGCUAACGCAUUAAGUAGACCGCCUGGGGAGUACGGCCGCAAGGUUAAAACUCAAAUGAAUUGACGGGGGCCCGCACAAGCGGUGGAGCAUGUGGUUUAAUUCGAUGCAACGCGAAGAACCUUACCUACACUUGACAUACAGAGAACUUUCUAGAGAUAGAUUGGCGCCUUCGGGAACUCUGAUACAGGUG
This 472-nucleotide ribosomal RNA is filed under the name uncultured bacterium. RNAcentral describes it as "bacterial SSU rRNA". It matches the Rfam family "Bacterial small subunit ribosomal RNA", at positions 568 to 1040 of the family's 1533-position model. The record is from RNAcentral.